GUACAGUGUCUGGAUUGGAGGAUCCAUUCUUGCAUCCCUCAGCACAUUCCAGCAGAUGUGGAUCUCAAAGGGCGAGUAUGAUGAGUCUGGUCCUUCCAUUGUCCACAGAAAGUGCUUCUAAGGUGCUGCUAUAAUUACUUAAAAGUGCGAGUGUCCUGUCUGUUUCCCGGUUUUGCUAUUAUGUUGCCAGUCAAUUUGUUUUUUUGAUGGGAUGGAGAAGUUUGGUGGUGGGGGCUAUGAAUGCACGGUAGCAAACAACAGAUUGCCAGUAUUAUCUCAUGUUUCCAUUUAAUGUGGUUAAUAUUCUCUACAUACUUGAGAGGUGCCUGAUGCAUUGCCCUCUUCUGUCUGGCUACACCAUCCCUUGGUCGAAGCGUCUCUUUUUUAGGUUGUUUGUAGUUGAAGGAGAGUGAUUGUGAUGUUUUCUCCUCGUCUUUUCUCUCAUUUUCUCCUUUUAUCUGAUUUUGCACUUUUGUGGUUCUUUUUUUUCUUGGACCCAAUAAUGUCAAUAUUUAUUGAAUGAGAAAAUUCCUAUAUCAUAUCAGUUUGAGGAAAUCAUUACUAUUUGUGUGGAUACAGGAGUUUUGACUCUUUAUUGGCGAUAUUUUGUAUUCUAUUGUUGCUGUUUUGGAUGUGGUUUCAGAACUUCCUUAGUGCAUUUGCUCUUAAAUCUGUUUUGCAGUAAAAUUGAGGCUAUAAAAGCUUCAUUGCAGAUUACCCUCGGAUGAGGGAUCUCCUCAUUGCCUGUCAUAUAUUGGUUUCUUUUCAUCCAACACGCAGGAUACAUACAUUUAUUGAAUUUGACCUUCUAUUUUGGGACAACUCUACUGUGAAAUUGGAGGGAUUGUUGAAUUUUUUUCUUGCAUGAGUUCAUUGAUGGUAUUAUUUUUGAUUAGGAACGAG
This 903-nucleotide unclassified non-coding RNA is filed under the name Hevea brasiliensis (rubber tree). Lineage: Eukaryota; Viridiplantae; Streptophyta; Magnoliopsida; Malpighiales; Euphorbiaceae. The record is from RNAcentral.